This 482-nucleotide ribosomal RNA is filed under the name uncultured bacterium. RNAcentral describes it as "partial 16S ribosomal RNA". It matches the Rfam family "Bacterial small subunit ribosomal RNA", at positions 28 to 523 of the family's 1533-position model. The record is from RNAcentral.
GACGAACGCUGGCGGCGUGCUUAACACAUGCAAGUCGAACGAUGAAACCUAGCUUGCUAGGUCGAUUAGUGGCGAACGGGUGAGUAACACGUGACUAACCUGCCCCUUUCUCUGGGAUAACGCUCCGAAAGGAGUGCUAAUACCGGAUACUCACAUCGAGGCACAUGCCUUGAUGUGGAAAGUUUUUCGGAAAGGGAUGGAGUCGCGGCCUAUCAGCUUGUUGGUGAGGUAACGGCUCACCAAGGCGACGACGGGUAGCCGGCCUGAGAGGGCGACCGGCCACACUGGGACUGAGACACGGCCCAGACUCCUACGGGAGGCAGCAGUGGGGAAUAUUGCACAAUGGGCGCAAGCCUGAUGCAGCGACGCCGCGUGAGGGAUGAAGGUCUUCGGAUUGUAAACCUCUUUCAGUAGGGACGAAGCGCAAGUGACGGUACCUACAGAAGAAGGACCGGCCAACUACGUGCCAGCCGCCGCGGUAA